RNAcentral lists this small nuclear RNA (174 nucleotides) under Carassius auratus (goldfish). RNAcentral describes it as "U2 spliceosomal RNA (ENSCARG00000026174.1)". It matches the Rfam family "U2 spliceosomal RNA". Rfam says of the family: U2 is a small nuclear RNA (snRNA) component of the spliceosome (involved in pre-mRNA splicing). Complementary binding between U2 snRNA (in an area lying towards the 5' end but 3' to hairpin I) and the branchpoint sequence (BPS) of the intron results the bulging out of an unpaired adenosine, on the BPS, which initiates a nucleophilic attack at the intronic 5' splice site, thus starting the first of two transesterification reactions that mediate splicing. Lineage: Eukaryota; Metazoa; Chordata; Actinopteri; Cypriniformes; Cyprinidae. The record is from Rfam by way of RNAcentral.
AAAACUUUUUCGAAAGAAAAAUCUGUUCUUAUCAGUUUUAAUAUCUGAUACGUCCCCCAUCCGGGGACUACAUAUUAAAUGGAUUUUAGAUCACGGAGCUGAAGCCGGGGCUUGCUCCGUCCACUCCAUGCAUCGGCCUGGUAUUGCAGUGUCUCCAGGAACGGUGUGCUUUCC